GUUGCUGUGCUAACGACCGUUGGAACCCUCUUUCCUGCUCUUGGAACGCUCGGCUCUGAGAGGCUCCAGGUUUCUCCGCCAGAGCUCCUGUCGCUCUGUCACUUGCGCUGUGUUCCUCUCUAGUCACAAGAGCCUUGGGGAAGACAGUUGGAAGCUCAGACAUGAGGUCAGGUUCUUGAAGGUUUCCUGCAUCACAUCCCUGUAGAGAUUCUUCUGGGAAGGAUCCAGCAAAGCCCACUCCUCCUGGGUGAAGCUGACAGCCACAUCCUCAAAGGCCACUGAAUCCUGAAACAUCUCACAUAUGUAAAGGAGGACAGAAUAAAUAGGCCAGGCACAGUGGCUCAUGCCUGUAAUCCCAGCACUUUGGGAGGCCAAGGUGGGCGGAUCACCUGAGGUCGGGAGUUCGAAACCAGCCUGACCAACAUGGAGAAACCCUGUCUCUAUUAAAAAAAAAAAUACACAAUUAGCUGGGCAUGUUGGCACAUGCCUGUAAUCCCAGCUACUCGGGAGGCUGAGGCAGGAGAAUCGCUUGAACUUGGGAAGCGG
RNAcentral lists this small RNA (546 nucleotides) under Pan troglodytes (chimpanzee). RNAcentral describes it as "processed transcript". The record is from RNAcentral. Lineage: Eukaryota; Metazoa; Chordata; Mammalia; Primates; Hominidae.